RNAcentral lists this long non-coding RNA (11931 nucleotides) under Nicotiana tabacum (common tobacco). Its description in RNAcentral is "long non-coding RNA (NTAB_LNC006930)". Lineage: Eukaryota; Viridiplantae; Streptophyta; Magnoliopsida; Solanales; Solanaceae. The record is from RNAcentral.
GCCGGUGGAGCUGGUUAUGGAGAUGGCAGAAGAGGCUGGUUGUUGUGGUGGCUGGUCGUUUUGAGAGGAGAGGUGCCGGCGGCGUUGGGCUGCUAUGGAGGGGCUGCUGUCGAAAGAGACGAGUUCAAGGGGGGUCGUUCUUUAGUUCUUGCGGCUGUUUUUCUGAAAGUUUUCUAGGGUUGUUUUGUUGCUUCUAUUCAUGGAGAAGAUGAAUCUUAGCUUCCAAAAAUAGAAAUAGCCGAUCUUAGCUUUGUGCGUAUAGGUCUGUUUAGGUGUUAGCUCUAAUGGAGAAGAUGAGCUAAUGGUCUACUGUGUAUUCCCCAUUCUGAAAACGGCCGGUCUUAGCUUAGUCUUAGGUCUAUCUUUUCUUCUUUUUUUUUUUGUAUUUUUCUCUUGAUUUCUGAAGCAAAAAAUGGCGGAUUGUUUAUGUGUAGAGUCUAGGUCUUAGGUCAUUAGGGUGUAGGUCCUUUUAUAGUCCAAGUCUAGGGUUUUAGGGGUAUUGGGAUUGGAAAUUAUGGGCUAGAGAUUUAUGGGCUAGGUCCGAAAAUCAGUACUAAAAAAGGUUGUUUGAGCCCAAAUUUAUUCUUUCUCCGCGAACGAGAUUAAAAUACGACCUCAUUUAUUAAUUGGUCCUACUUAAGUAAAAUAACUGUUAAAAUAAGGCUGACCGUUAACACAUAACUAUUUUUGAUAUUUUCCAAGAUUAAAAAUGACUACAAAAUAUUAAUGAAACUAUUUUUUUUAAUUUUCAAGAGUCAAAAUUAGUUGAAAUAGCAAUAUUAGGCCUAAAUUAAAUAUUUACAUGCUAAAUAUAAAAAAUCUUGUGGAGGGUCAAAAAUCAGAUGUCUACAGUUGCCCCUCUUUGAUUAGAAACACGAAGAGUUUUCAGACAAAGAACGACUAGACAGAUUUUUUGACCCGACCCUUAUUUAAUGAGACUAGAAGCUAAAAGAAAGGAGAAUUUGACCGAGCCCCGGUAUCUGAGCUGCCUACAUAUCCUUGUCUAUAAAAGAAUUAGGCCACGUGUAGUUCAAAAGUAAGUGAGAUGAUGAAGUAUACCGAGGUGGAGAGCCGAUCGAGGUACCAUUCCGUCGAGGUUCCGGUCCGCAGUCCUGUUAUAACAUCAAAAUGAAAAAAUGAAAAAAGACUAACUAAGCCUGUUAACUAUGAGUUACAAGAUUCCUAUCUAUAACUCUUCUGAAGCUUGAUCUUGAGUCUUGAAUGGUUUUUCAUGCAGACUUUGGAUUUGAACCUUGAUGCUUGCUAGUUGCAGGUGCUAGUUCAUUCUUCUUCAGCUUUUCAGACCAAAACCGGACAUACCAUGCUUGUGACUUCAGUCAUGUCUUGAGCGGCUCACAUCUUUCAUCAACUUCUGUAUUUGGAUUCACUUCUUGCCUUUCUUUUUUAUAUUCUAGGUUGUGACUAACUUUCGUUGAUCAUCUCAGACUGUUGACUCACAUUCUUGUCGUGAGCUUCUUUUGUUGCUGACUUGAAUUGCAUUCUAAAGUGAAUUCUCUUAUUCUCCAGGUAGGUUGAUUGCCAAUAUUCGAACUAUCUUCCUUUGAACAUUGUUGCUUUCCCUUGUUCUCCAGUUGGGUGCCUGAUUGCCAAAACAUGAAUUGUAUUCCCUUGCUCUCCAGGUGGGCGCCUGAUUGCCAAAACUUCAACUGUAUUCCCUGGCUCUCUAGGUAGGUGCCUGAUUGCCAAAACUUUAACCGUCUUCAUUUGAAAAUUGUUGCUUUCCCUUUGUUCUCCAGGUGGGUGCCUAAUUUCCAACACUUGCACUGCUUUUCCCUUAAAACUUGACUCAUUUUCCUUUGUUCUCCGGGUGGGCUCCUGAUUACCGACACUUAAACUGCUUUUCCCUUUGUUCUCCAGGUGGGGUCCUGAUUACCGACACUUGAAUUGCUUUUGCUUUGUUCUCCAGGUGGGCUCCUGAUUACCGAUACUUGAAUUGCUCUCCCUUUGUUCUCCAGGUGGGCUCCUGAUUACCAAUUCUUGAAUUGCUUCUCCCUUUGUUCUCCAGGUGGGCUCCUGAUUUCCAACACUUGAAUUGCUUCUCCCUUUAUUCUCCAGGUGCGCUCCUGAUUUCCAAUACUUAAACUGCUUUUCCCUUUGUUCUCCAGGUGGGGUCCUGAUUACCGUCACUUGAAUUGCUUUUCCUUUGUUCUCCAGGUGGGCUCCUGAUUUCCAACACUUGAAUUGUUUCUCCCUUUGUUCUCCAGGUGGGCUCCUAAUUACCGAUACUUGAAUUGCUCCUCCCUUUGUUCUCCAGGUGGGCUCCUGAUUUUCAACACUUGAAUUGCUUCUCCCUUUGUUCUCCGGGUGGGCUCCUGAUUUCCAACACUUGAAUUGCUUCUCCCUUUGUUCUCCAGGUGGGCUCCUGAUUUCCGACACUUGGAUUGUUUUCCCUUUGUUCUCCAAGUGGGCUCCUGAUUACCAACAUUUGAAUUGCUUUCCCUUUGUUCUCCAGAUGAACUCCUGAUUUCCAACACUUGAACUGUUUUCCCUUUGUUCUCUAGGUGGGAUCCUGAUUUCCAACACUUGAAUUACUUUUCCCUUUGUUCUCCAGGUGGCCUCUUGAUUUCCGACACUUGAAUUGCUUCUCCCUUUGUUCUCCAGGUGGGCUCUUGAUUUCUGACACUUGAAUUGUUUUCCCUUUGUUCUCCAGGUGGGCUCCUGAUUUCCAACACUUGAACUGCUUUCCAUUUGUUCUCCUGGUGGGCUCCUGAUUUCCGACACUUGAAUUGCUUUUUCCUUUGUUCUCCAGGUGGGCUCCUGAUUUUCAACACUUGAACCGUAUUCCCUUGCUCUUCAGGUGAGUGCCUGAUUUCCUACUCGAACUGAUUCCUCUGAAACUGCUGCUUUCUCUUUGUUCUCUAGGUGGGUGUCUGAUUGCUGAAACUUGCUUUGUCCUUUUCUUUAAACUACUUUUCCUUUGAACUGUCCUCCUUUGUUCCUGAUUGCUUGACCCCGAACUACUUUCUAUUCUUGAAACUCAUGUUGUUCUCCCUUGCUCUCUAGGUGGGCACUUGAUUUCAACAAAAUAGACAAAACAAAGAAAAUUUCCUACCCCAGUUUGGUAGUUGGGCACAUCAGUGAGUGUUAAUUGAACCAUGUUACCAAAUAUCCCUAAGAAUUUGAAACCACUUAAUCUUAUAAUGCUAGGUCUUGUUACUCAUGAAUGUUUUGAAUUUUAACUAGGUCCCAUUAUCCAGAAGGGUCCUGAGAACUUCAAAUUAAAUCUCAUUAUCCAGGCUGGUCCUGAAUUUAUUUUUAAAAAAAAAAAAUUAAAUCCCAUUAUCCAGGAGAGUCCUGAGAAGUUUAGAAUGAACUUACCUGAGCCAUGCUCUCUUCCUGGAGGAUCUCUGCAGAAAGAACAUAAUUCCUUGCCCCUGAAGCAUGCUUUUCCUCAUGGAGGGUUCCUACAGAUCGAACAAAUUUUCCUUUCCCCUUCUCAAACCGCCUUUGUGCUGACAAAAUUUGGGCAUGACACUUGAAAAAAUUCAAACUUCCAAGCUUUCAUUUGGACACAAUUUUCGUCCCUGUUUCAAACAAAGAAAACUUGUGAGUUUAUAAAUAUGGUGGUUGGUUUGUGGCCUUGACUUUGAGGGCGAUUGCUCUUUCACUUCCCAUGAUAACUUUGGUUUCAACUCGAAAGACCUUGCUUGUUCAUUGACUAACCACUUUCUCUGUCACCCUUAUCCCAAGAGAUACCUCUGAUUCGUUCAAACCCAAACCCUCUAUCUGUUGCAUUGUGCUCAUGCAUUGAUAUAGACUGAGCCUUUGCAUUUCACAUGAAUCCCAAAGCACAUCAAUUGCCAUGCACUUAGUGCACAUGUUAUUCUUUCCUGACUUAAACACUGGCCUUGGCCUUGAGGACUAUUGCUCCUUCACUUGUCAUGAUAACUUUGAUUUCCGCUUGGAAGACCUUGCUUGUCAUUGGUUAACCACUUUCUCUGUCAAUUUUAUCACAGAAAAUACCUUUGAUCCGUUCACCCAACAUCCUCUAUCUGUUGCAUUGUUCAUGAAUUGACAUAUACCAAACCUUUGUAUUUCACAUGAAUUCCAAAGCAUGUUGAUUGUUACCAACUUAGUGUGCACAUUGUUCUUUCCUGACUUACGCCACUUUGAUGUGCUAGCAAGAUCCCAUUUUGUGCAAUUGGAAAGUUGUUGGCAAAUUUUGAAGUCAUUUCUCACUUGUUCUAACCAAACAGACUCAGGAAGAGGAAGUAAACGAGACAAAAGGAACAGAGUAAAGGACAAUGGAAAGGGAUGAUUCCUAACAAGAAAACUACAAAGUAGAAACUUAUCAGAUGUGGAUAUCAACUCUAAUGACCAUGACAUGCACCUAUGGUCUAAUCUGUCAAACAAGUCUGAUGUUCAACUCUUGUUAUACCCCUAAACCGUGAAACUGGGCUUCAAUGCUCCAAUUAUCCAAUCUCAUUCACAAUCCUUAUUCGACUUGUAGUGCUCGAAGGGUUUUCACCAUCAAGCCUCUCUCAUUUUGUUCUUUUUCUCAACUCACCAUCGCCUUAUGGUGCCUGUGAAGGUUUUCACCAAUAAGACUCUCAUUUUGUUCUUUUCUUCUUAUUUCCUCUGAUUCUGUAGAUGACAAGGCAUUAACCAUGGUAAAAACAUCAUAUACUCUUGAUAUGUCUAAACUCAGCACUUUCAAAGAUUAUCUGGGAGGUCUUUUUUGGACUAUAAUGUGGUUUUUGGACAGGGUUAGAAAGAAAGGAUAAAGGCUCAAAAUAAAUAAGACAACACGGUUAAUUUAUUUACAACUCUUGGAAUCUAAAACUUUGCCCCAAUUUCUAAAACAAGGGAAUUUGAUUCUUCUUUUAUUUUUCUUUUGAUGGAGUUACUAAGAAAGACUGCCCCACUCUCGACUUCGUGGGAUUAUGAAAUAUCUUAUUUGGUAUGACUGAACCGUAAGGCUACCUAUGUAUCUUGUGGUGACAAGAAUCAGGUCAAACGUAAUUCACACGACUACCUUUUGUUACUAUUUUCCUUUUUUUCUUUUUCAUUUUCCUUCAUUUUUUCUUUUUUCAUUUUUUUUUCCUUUUUUUCUUUAUCUCUAUUUUUCUCUUCUCUUUUUUUGAAUUUUCCUUUUGGAAUGAACUUUCUAAAAUAAACCUAUGGGGACAUGAACUUUUUUUUUCGUAUGACUCUAACUUGAUUACAAAAGAGGGGAGGUCAAGAAAAUCAGCAUAAGCUCAAAAGGGGUACCGAAUGGUAUAAAGUGUUUGGGUAGCUGAAAUAGGGCCUCCCAAUCCCUGAAAAUGCCAAGUAAAACACAUGCAACUUGAAAUAAAAAUAGAAGAUCAUGCACAAUAUUUCUUUUGCAGCUUCGGCAUUGAUAUUACUAAUAUGUCUUCCACUUUUCUUUAGUGCCUUGUCAAGUACAGAACCCUCAUUGGGUGAUUCCCUUUUCACAAUGGAUAUCCUCCGUCAAUUCGGAGAAAACUUCCUUGACUUUAUUUUGUAACUUGAGAUGCAUUUGGACUCAAAGUUGCUUGCUUUAAAUCAUCCGGGAUUCACUCUCCUUUAACGAAUUCUUGCCACCCUAUUUAACUUUCCAAAUUAUCUGCCCCAGUUUCACAUUGUUCGGGCUUCAAAUGAUCUCAAAAUGUUCAAAUCUGUACUUAUUUCCCUCAAGUGUCCCUACCAUCUUCAAAAUUAUUUCAUUGCUCCAUGAUUAAACUAACUUUUGAAACCAGACCUAGAAUUAUGUGUGCAUGUCAUAUCACUAGAGCCAGCAUAAAAAAGAACUAUAAAAAGAAAAGAGAGCUAAACAAAAAUGACUAGAAAUAACAAAAAACAAAAAAUUGCAUUAGACAGACGGUGAGAGGGUUUGAACAACAAUACAAGCAAAAUAAACUAGGGAUACAACCCUGGAACAAACCUAUAUAACACUAAAUGAGUUAAUAUGACUAAAGGAACUAGGCAAAGUAAAAGGAUAGAAGGGUUUGAGUCACAAGACAAUAUCCGAAUUACAACCCUGAAAUAACAUGGACAACAGAAAUGAUAACAAAAUGAACCACCAAGACUCCUCCCCGAGUAACCAAGAAAGGAGAUUCUUUCCAAUUGCCAAGCUCGGCAUAUUAGCCACUGAGUUCCACAUCAAUAUUACCAAGACCAUUCCAAUUUCAAUAUCAUUAACUUCACCAAGUGACUCAUUUGACCAACCCUUCAUCAUUGCCAACUAUCCCAACAAUCUGUGCAUUGUCAUGUACCUGUAGAGGAUUACAUGUGACACUUGGUGUAUUACUGCCUUGGACCGCAAUUAUUCCUCCUUGAAUCAUUCUUUCUAUUUCCCUUUUCAAAGCACGACAAUCUUCAACAUUGUGUCCCUGGGCAUUGGAAUGGUAUUCACACCUUUUAGUAGGGUCAAAGCUUCUCGCACGUGGGUCUAUAUAAUUUAGAGGAAUAGGUGCAAUCAUGUCAUAAUGCUUUAAUAUCUCAAACAAACUUGCAUAGGACUCUCCUAUUGGUGUAAAAUUAUCUUUCAGCCUUUGUUCCCUUUUACACCCUUGGCUUGAAUGUGGGUUGUAGGGCACUUGAAAAUUUUGUGAAGGCUAGUGAAGUUUUUGCGGUGCUCGUGCUCGCCUGUUGGAGUGACCUAGUGGUUGGACAGAUGGUCGGAUGUGGUUCGAAGGAUAAUACUGGGGUGAAUUAUGUGGAGUUUGGGGAUAUUCAUAGGGUCAGUAUUGAGGCUGAAAGCGUUUAGCAGGAAUGCCCACUGAAUCCCGUCGUUGGCGGGGCUCAGCAACAUCUUUUCUAUCAUUGGGAGGCCUGUCCCGAGAAACUUAUUCGUUCCAUCUGAACCAAAAUUCCCUAUAACUUUCCAUGGGUUUCUUUUCCAUCUGAGAUAGGGAGGAGCAAUCUGGGACACUGUCUAUAUUGUACUGAUAGUGUCGCACAAAAUCUUGAGCCAUGUCAUCCUAUGUUUGUCACUUACCGACAUCUUGGUGAGUAUUCCAUUCCAAGGUUGCCUCAGUCAGACUCUCACUGAAGUAUGCCAUCAGAAACUCAUCUUUCCCACCAACACUUCUCAUUCUACUUCAAUAACCCUUCAGAUGGGCUACUGGGUCUCUAUGCCCAUCAUACAAAUUAAACUUUGACAUCUUAAACCCUUUCAGCUUUCUGGAUAUCUCAUCUUGCUCUACUGCUUAGCAGGUUUGCAGUCUCACCGGGAGGCUCAAAAUGAGGAGCGUAAGAGUAUGGCCCGAGACCUUAAAAAUUGGUUCUAGAGAAUAGUGUUGGGCAUCGGGGAUUUUAAACACAGUCUCGCUAGAGGAUCGAGGAGAGGUAGCAGGUGAAUGAUCUACAAAAACAUGAGUGACCAAAGGAGCGGAAUAUGAGGUGGUUUUGGGGGGUAGAGUGUGAAAAGGUUGUGAGGAGAUAUCCUGGACUUGUGACAGUGGUGGAAUGGUGACAAGGCUUGGUGGAGGGCGCCCACUAAUCCAGGCUUGGUAUAUUUUGGCCAUCUGUCCUUCAAACCUUAAGACCUCUUCUCUCAUCUCAGAUUCUGAUUCAACAAUUCCCUUAGACGGAUCAAUGACCCUUGUGUCCCAUUCUUUGCUAGCCAUGACUACUUUGCUCUUUGACCUUGUGUUGUAUGGAUGAUUUACUUAAGAACCACAAACCAACCACCCUUCUGCUCAACGAAGAUAACAAAAAGAACAAAAUGGGGUCAUCCUGUCAGCGUUAGGGCAUUUAACAUAGGAUAAUCUCAUAUUAUGUGCAAUGCACCUAGUAGCAAUUAACGGCUCUAGAAUGACUUCUAGGGUCACAAGGUCACUUGGCAUCAUCCCAAUUUUGUUCAUUUCAAUCUUCUCUUUUCUUUUCUGUUCUCGCACUUCUUGGCUUAUUCAUUUUCUUUCCUCUCUUUUUUUCUAAUUAUCACACUUUUAUUUCCUCUCAUUUCUCACGUCCCACAACUUCAUCCUUUUUUCUCUUUUUUCUCUCCUUUUCUAUUUCUUUUAAUAAAUUAAAAAAAUGAUUCGAUCGAACCCUAUGUAGGUUGUCUGCGUAUCAUGACGCCACAUGAAUCAGAUCUUUGCGUAGUUUGGAAAGAUUGGGAAUAAAGUAAACUAACUAACGUUCUCAUUUCCUUUUCCUUUUUUUUCUUACCUUAAAGACGACUCUGAUGAGAAAAGAGAAAUAAAAGAAGCAAAUCUCCUUUUUUUUGAAUUUUCUAGACUUAAUGUUCUAUAACAUAUUCUAAACUCAAACUUAACGAUCAUACAUUUUUUUUAUUUUUUUUUCUUUUUGAAACAAACACUCUACGGGAAAUUAUUAAGGAAAAGAAAUCGUAGAAGAGAAAAAAAAAUUUGAUUUUGUUUUUUUAGGAGAGAAAUCAAAAGAAUAAACCGGAGAAAAAUAUUUGAUAUCCCUGAAGAAAGAUUUCGAAAUGAAAAAUGAACAAGAUAAAAAAUAUUUUUGGAUUUCAGUUUGAUUACCUAAGGAAGAAACUUUAAAGACAAACAAAAGAUAAAGUAUAUUUUUUUUCUUCUAUGUACAAUGUCCUGAAGUUAUAGUAAAAUAAAAAAAAUUAUUUUUCAUUAAUUUCCCAAAGAAGAACCUCAGAAGAAAAUCUUUUUGGAUUUUUUGGAAUUAAUACCUUAAAAGAAAACUCUUUAAAGAGGUACUAAAAGAAAAUUCUCUUUUUUUUUUCGAAUUUUUAGUCUAAUAUACUAAAGGAAAUAUAAAAAUAAUUUUUAUUUUAAGUUUUAGAUAUUAACUGCCUAAAGGAAAAAAUCACCUCAAAAGAAUUUUUUUUUUUAUUUCUAAAAUUAGUAUUCUAAAGAAAACUUCUAACAGAAAUAUAAAAUGCAAAACCUCUUUUUUUUUAUUUUUGAGUUACAACACACUUUUUCAAACCCAAAGUAGAAAGUACAAUAAUAUAAGACUCAACAUUACUGUACAAAACUAGAAAGUAAAAAAUGACAUAAAAUGAAAAACAGACUCAAAACAUAAAAAAAAAUCUCCUUAAGCAACCCUUGAAUGAGUGAUCCUGAUUGGAUGGUCCUGGGGCGUCUGCCAUACUCAAACUCUGGUAAAUAGACUCACACCUGUAUGAGAAAACUCAAACCAACACUAUGUGAGACAAUAACAUUCCCUACUAGACACAUGCAAGACAUGGUUGUUACUAUUUUUUUAAAAUUGACCUAUAUGGCUAAAAAUGCAAGAUUUGGCUAAGAACCCCGCGAAGCCAAGAACCUAAACUCACUAGAAAGACCGGACCCUAUGUGGGUUGCCUACGUAUCACGACCUGAAAGAUAAGAAUCGGGUAUGCGUAGUUCGGGCAGAUUGGAUACGGGCGAGAAUUAAAAAAACAACUAAUUUAGAGAAAAUAUUAUUUUUGUCUUUUUUUUUCUUGAAAAAUGAUGAAACAUGUAAACUCUUUUUGGAUUUUCUUUUUCCUUUUUUUGAUUUUCUGAUUUUCGGAAAAUGAUGAAAAAGUGCAAAAUCAUUUUUGAAUUUUUCAUUUUCAUAUUUUUUGUUUUUUUCUCUUGAAAAGUGUGAAAAAAAUUAUAACUGGGCCNNNNNNNNNNNNNNNNNNNNNNNNNNNNNNNNNNNNNNNNNNNNNNNNNNNNNNNNNNNNNNNNNNNNNNNNNNNNNNNNNNNNNNNNNNNNNNNNNNNNNNNNNNNNNNNNNNNNNNNNNNNNNNNNNNNNNNNNNNNNNNNNNNNNNNNNNNNNNNNNNNNNNNNNNNNNNNNNNNNNNNNNNNNNNNNNNNNNNNNNNNNNNNNNNNNNNNNNNNNNNNNNNNNNNNNNNNNNNNNNNNNNNNNNNNNNNNNNNNNNNNNNNNNNNNNNNNNNNNNNNNNNNNNNNNNNNNNNNNNNNNNNNNNNNNNNNNNNNNNNNNNNNNNNNNNNNNNNNNNNNNNNNNNNNNNNNNNNNNNNNNNNNNNNNNNNNNNNNNNNNNNNNNNNNNNNNNNNNNNNNNNNNNNNNNNNNNNNNNNNNNNNNNNNNNNNNNNNNNNNNNNNNNNNNNNNNNNNNNNNNNNNNNNNNNNNNNNNNNNNNNNNNNNNNNNNNNNNAAAUUCAGAGUCACCGCUUGGGAUAAUUUAUGGUGUCCCAAGUCACCGGUUUAAAAUCCCGAAUCGAGGAAGUUUGACUUUGUUUUACAGUCCGCGAACACAGAAAUCCGGGUAAGGAAUUUUGUUAACCCGGGAGAAGGUGUUAGGUAUUCUCGGGUUUCGUUGUUCUAACACGGUCGCUCAACUAUUAUUAUUGGCCUAAUUACCUGAUUUUUACAUUUUUUAAAACCUAUGUGCAUUUUAUUCCUUUUAACCGCUUUUAAUAUUUUUUAGGAAAAUUCAAGGUUGUUUAAAACACAUUGUAAUCCACGCUACAUGAAAUGCACUCAUGGUUCACGACACGUUUUAUUUAACCUUGUUAAAAAUUAGAACCGGGUCACAUGAAAUGUAUACCCAGAUUUUAGUAAUAGUCGUGAUAAUUAUAAUUAAUGCGCCUAAAGCAAAUAACGACGUUCAUGAAUUACUUAAUUAAUUUCCUAAGAGUUAUGAAAUCAUUAUGAAACCAAGCAUUAUCGAGAUACAAAAUUGGAAAAAAAUUUCAGCACUUAACAAAUGACUUGUGAAAAGUGGGUUUCCAGAACCCAAAUCCACCAAAUCGAAUGGGGCCUCUUUCACAGACCCAAAUAUAGCAGAAACGUCAAUUUAUGCCCCAAGAACACAACCCUUUUCCUCCAAUAUAGGGUUUUCCAUUUAAGUACAAGAGCUGAACCAAUUCACAGUAACAAUAGCACUAAAGAUUUCAGAAGAUUCCAUUAUAAGGUCAAUAAUAAUAAUAAUAAUAAUAAUAAUAAUAAUAAUAAUAAUAAUAAUACGAAUAAUGAUAGAGGGUAGUAUAAGGAAAAAGAAAGGCAACAAUGGAAGGUAAAGGAGGAGAGUAGUUGAUGAAGUUAUCAAAAAAAGAGUAAAAUGUAACAAAGUACUGAUAAAAAGAAACUAACCAAUAGUCAGAUUAUAUGUCAAACAACCGAUCAUCAAAUAUAUAGCAAAAAAAACCCCAGUUCCUUCUAAUCACGUCAAAAAGGAUCAAAACAUGACUUCAAAUAAGAAACAGAGAUCCAUUCAUCACUAAAUAUAACUAAGUACAAAGGGGCUCUUUUGAGUUUACCUCUUGAGUAAGCAAAGCAAUAAGGAGAAGCCAAAUAGAAGCUGAAAUCAAAUAGAAAACGCAGCAGUGCCGGAACCUCGCCGGAAUCUCGAACGGAACUGAACGACGACUUCAAAUUGCUUCCAACAUCUCAGCUCCAAACAACUCUCCAAACGAGCUUCAAAAAUGGAAUCUAUGGCUUUGAAACAGUUGUGGUGUGCGUUCGCCGGUUUCAAUGAUGGUCACCGGAAAGUCACUUCUCAUCAAAACAGGAGCUGCAAGCUCGCUGACUUCCGGCGAGUUUCAUCGCAUCAGCGAGAGGAGUGAAAGAAAGAGCAAGGUGAGGGAGAGAGAAACAGGAACGAGGUGAGAACGACAGUCUCGCCGGUGGAGCUGGUUAUGGAGAUGGCAGAAGAGGCUGGUUGUUGUGGUGGCUAGUCGUUUUGAGAGGAGAUGUGCCGGCGGCGUUGGGCUGCUAUGGAGGGGCUGUUGUCGAAGGAGAUGAGCUUAGGGGGGUCAUUCUUUAGUUCUUGUGGCUGUUUUUCUGAAAGUUUUCUAGGGUUGUUUUUUUUGCUUCUCUUCAUGGAGAAGAUGAAGCUUAGCUUCCAAAAAUAGAAACAGCCGAUCUUAGCUUUAUGCGUAUAGGUCUGUUUAGGUAUUAUCUCUAAUGGAGAAGAUGAGCUAAUGGUCUACUGUGUAUUCCCCAUUCAGAAAACGGUCGGUCUUAGCUUAGUCUUAGGUCUAUCUUUUUUUUGUAUUUUUCUCUUGAUUUCUGAAGCAAAAAUCGGCGGAUUGUUA